Anguilla anguilla (European eel) is the source of this 397-nucleotide long non-coding RNA. RefSeq lists it as uncharacterized. The record is from RefSeq and is a predicted model, not a curated record. The transcript has 2 exons. NCBI's taxonomy places the organism in Eukaryota, Metazoa, Chordata, Actinopteri, Anguilliformes, Anguillidae.
CGCUAAUGUCUUCACUGGUAUGAUUGGUCACUUUAAAUACAAAGCCCAUACACUUCCUAUGCCUUCUAACGGCAACGUUCUUGUUAGCUAUGGGACAAUAUGGAGACACAAGUUGCACCAUUAGCAAGAUGCUGUUUGUCCAUUCCUGGAACAUCAGUGCCGUCUGCGUGCGUCUUCAUGGCUGCCGGUCACCACCUUCAGCAAACUGCACCAGAAUUAUCCCAGAGUUCGUAGACAUGCUCGUAUUCCUUAACAAAAAUGCUUAGGUAUUGGCAUAUAGGCCAUGUUACGGCUAUAUGUUACAGAAUGCAUUAUUACAAAGUUAAAAGCCGAAUAUGCUGGAUUUUUUAAACUUGAAAAUAUAAUAAAAUAAACAUGCUAUGGCAUAUCUACGAUG